CCCGCACAAGCAGCGGAGCGUGUGGUUUAAUUCGAUGCUACACGAAGAACCUUACCAGGGUUUGACAUGCAAGUGGUAGGAACCGAAAGGCGACCGACCUUCGGGAGCUUGCACAGGUGCUGCAUGGCUGUCGUCAGCUCGUGUCGUGAGAUGUUCGGUUAAGUCCGCUAACGAGCGCAGCCCUCGCUGUGUGUUACAAGUGUCACACGGUACUGCCGGUCUUAAGCCGGAGGAAGGUGGGGAUGACGUCAAGUCCUCAUGGCCUUUAUGUCCAGGGCUACACACGUGCUACAAUGGAUGGUACAAAGAGCAGCGACCUCGCGAGAGUGAGCAAAUCUCAAAAACCCAUCCUCAGUUCGGAUUGGAGUCUGCAACUUGACUCCAUGAAGUUGGAAUCGCUAGUAAUCGCGGAUCAGCAUGCCGCGGUCGAAUACGUUCCCGGGCCUU
RNAcentral lists this ribosomal RNA (447 nucleotides) under uncultured Anaerolineaceae bacterium. RNAcentral describes it as "bacterial SSU rRNA". It matches the Rfam family "Bacterial small subunit ribosomal RNA", at positions 920 to 1382 of the family's 1533-position model. Lineage: Bacteria; Bacillati; Chloroflexota; Anaerolineae; Anaerolineales; Anaerolineaceae. The record is from RNAcentral.